This 3274-nucleotide long non-coding RNA is filed under the name Marmota monax (woodchuck). The record is from RNAcentral. Lineage: Eukaryota; Metazoa; Chordata; Mammalia; Rodentia; Sciuridae.
GCUGUAGAUACCCAGGAAAGCCUGCCUGUUGCUCCCAUUUUGGUAAUAACCAUCACUGUUGGAGAAUGUCUCUACUGUGCCAAGCUCACAGCUACAGACACUGCCUUCUACACAGCAGAAGCAGCUCUGGACAUCUAAGAAGUUCCUCUCCUGUAGGUGAGGAGGGAAGGAGGUGGGAGAUGUGUGGAGGAAAUAGAUGUGAUCCUGGGUCUAGAACUAGAAUUAGAAAGAGAGAGGCUUCACUUACCAAAGGGCCCCCAGAGUACCAGGUACUGUGUUAGGCAGAAGGGAUAUAAUACAAACAGCCCAUGCCCUCAUGGUGCUUACAGAUUUACCUUGUACAGCAGGUAAACUGGACUCAGAUUGAGGGAUUUAUCUAUAUAAAAAUCACAAAUGCCACAGGUUGAUGUAGUUAUGUACACAAAGCAUCUAGUCCAGUGUCUGGAUCACACCAGAUAAUUGAUAAGGUUUUUUCCCCCUCUGUUCUUCCCCCUCUCUCCUACUGAGCCUGAAACUUAAUAGUCUACAUAGAAACUUCUGAAAAACAAUAGACAGAUGGCCAGUGGCAGAUUCCUUGUAUAUAUAAUCAGUGCUCCAACAUCUUUGUUAUUAUCUAGCACCCUCCCCCCUCCUUUUAUUUCACUGCCUAUUUCCUUUGGGGGAUGAUUUCAUUUCUCCCCCAAGGUUGUCCUUGAUGUUCUUUUUAACCUAAUUCCACCCACAUACCAUAUGCUGGAGGGUGUUGGUACAGAGGAAAGGCGCUGAGAUUUGUUCUGCAUCCUGCACCUGCCCGGGGCUGGACUUGCCUAUAUAUAAAUAGCAAUGAGCAGCAGGAAUUUCUGAAAUGUCAAGCUAAGGGAACAGGCAGGUCCCUCUGCUCUGUUUGGGAGUGUGCAGAAUGGCAUCCAUUGACUGGCAUGGCAGUGCUUUCAAAUCCCUGAGCACAGGUGGAGUGGCUCCAGCCCUAUCCCUUCCAUCUAUGCUCAUCUGAGCUGCCUGAGAUUCUAAGGCCACUGCUCAAAACAAGAGUGAAGGAAACAAAGGGGAAUCAGUGGGUCCUACAUUGCUCUUAUGAUUGAAGGUAUAGGCUUCCAGGCCCUAUUGACGUGGUUCAGAAACACCCUUCACCACGUACAAGCUGUCUUUCCUGUGGCAAGCCCAUAAUGAAUGGGAACCUACAUAUCCUAAUUUUAAAAACAGAAGGUGUGUCAUCAGCCAUCUACAUAAGAACACCCAGCUUGAUCAAUGAUGCCAGGCAACUUUUUUUCUGCAACUUCCACCAAAUGCUUUGCUACCUUCUUAAUUUUUCUCUUUCUCCCCUAUUCCUAUCUUGCUAUUAACGUAUCCCCACUGACUCUCUCUUCAAAAUAAAUUAAGAAUUUAAAUCCAACCAUGUCUCUCUCACUUCCUUUUGUUCUUGGGGUUCCUUUUCUCAGAGCCCAGCCCUGAGCAUCCUGUAUCAUGUCCUCUUGUAUUUCUUCUUCUCCCAAGUUAUUUUGUCCAUGGGACUUGUUUCCAUUUAGUGCUCAUUUUCUGUCUCCCAGUUAUGGUCUGAAUGUUUGUGAUCCCCCCUCACCAAAUCCAUAUGUUGAAAUCCCAACCCAAUCCCAAACACUGAAUUUACCUGCAGCUUGAUCUUAGACUUCUCAACCUCCCAAACUUGGGCAAUAAAUAAAUAAAUGUUAUUUAUAAGCUAACCAUCUAUAUUAUUUUUUUUCAGCAACCCGAGUGGACUAAAGCAGUCUCAACCGCCACCACAAGACUAGAUGAUAAACUCCAUGAUGUUCAGGGUUUUGCAUAAUGUGUUCACUGCUGUCUCCUUGUGCAUAGUCUGGUACAAUGUUGUUCUUGUGAGGAUCCAUGUCAAGAAAAGCUUUCAGUCCUUUGAUUGAACCAGAAACUAUCUGAAAGUCACCUCGCAGGGACCCACUGUGUUACUUCUUACACAUUUGGAAUCAUAGGGAGCUUUUCUUUGAUGCUAUUCAGCAGCAACAGAAGCUAACUUCAAAUUCUAGGACACUGCUCUGUGAGAAGCUCCCAGAGGACAAGUUGCUCGAUCCCUUUUAAAAGGAAAAAAAUAAUAUCAAGUUUUCUGUAUCAAAAACAAUGUAUGAAGCUUGCAUAUUGAGCUAUAGGGAUGCUGCUGCUGCUGCUGCUGCUGCUGCUACUGUUGUUGCUGCUUCAUGACAGAACUUCUGGUCGCCUAGUUGCCAAUCACCAGCAUCAGGAUCUCCUAGGAAUAAUGUUCAAGUACUGAUACCCAGGACUCAUGCCUGACUGUCCUACUUUAUUGCCAUGAUUCCUACAUUGUUCAUGUUAAAAUGUUACAUCAGCAGUGACAACAGCAUCUUAUGUCCCUGGUUGUCAUAGGCUAUAAUAAGUAUACAAUAAGUGGCCCAGGAGUCCAGAUGCUAAACCAAGAAAAAUCACACAAUUCUUAUGCCUACCAUUUAAGUUAUGUAGAUUGAUUGAACAUAAAGGUAUUGGCUAGAGCUGAAGGAAAAUAACAAACCUACACUUGAAUGUGAAGUGAGGCACUUUUAUACCAUGCAUGGAUAGAGUGGGGUGGGUAGGUAAUGGUUGCAGUUCACUGUAUAAAGAAACAUACAGGACAAUAGACUUCUACCUAGAUAUGUCAGAGUUAUCUAGUAUGGAAAAUGCAGAGUCAUAAUGGAGUUCUAGAAACGCUAUCUUUGCCAAGUUUAGUUUGACUAUAUAUAUAUAUAAUAUAUAUAUAUAUAUAUUUCCCAUAACAUUUUUUUGUUAAGAAUAUUAAAAAUUGCCUGACCUAAAGACAGGCCUUGAGAAUAUGCUAGAAGAGCAAUUGUUCCAUUGGUUCCCUUGGUAUUUUCAGCUUGGAUGCAAAUUUUUAUGGGUCCUGUAAGCAUAGAUCCAUAUGGGAAAGUCUCUAUUUCAAAGAGUAGUAGGGUACUGAAUAUAUAAAUUACCCAAAUACCCAGAAUCUGUGUUUUAUUCUCCUAAUACUGAGUCAUGACAUUGAGUUCUAGAACACCUGGAACCUGACAAGAUUAAUUAUGUAAUUAACUUCAUUUCAGUGAUGAAAAAAGAAAAUGAAAAUUAUUUUCUAUUUUAUCCCUAAGAGCUAGAACUUGGAAAAACUUUUCAUUGUUUGAAAUUAAAUAGAAGAAAGGAAGAAUACCAUCAAUAUGCAACUUGAUAUAUUUGUUUAUUAAACCUUACCUCGGUGUGUGGAGAUAAUAGUCAAGGUCAUUAAAAUCCAUAGGCCCAAAGAAGACUUGUAGCCAAAAUGACU